This 467-nucleotide ribosomal RNA is filed under the name uncultured Planctomycetota bacterium. RNAcentral describes it as "bacterial SSU rRNA". It matches the Rfam family "Bacterial small subunit ribosomal RNA", at positions 325 to 808 of the family's 1533-position model. Lineage: Bacteria; Pseudomonadati; Planctomycetota. The record is from RNAcentral.
CACUGCCCAGACACCUACGGGUGGCUGCAGUCGAGAAUCUUCCGCAAUGGACGAAAGUCUGACGGAGCGACGCCGCGUGAUGGACGAAGGCCCUCGGGUUGUAAACAUCUGUCGUAGGGGAGGAAAUUUUGACCGAUCCUAGGAGGAAGCACAGGCUAAGUUCGUGCCAGCAGCCGCGGUAAUACGAACUGUGCGAACGUUAUUCGGAAUCACUGGGCUUAAAGGGUGCGUAGGCGGGCAGGUAGGUCAGAUGUGAAAGCCCACGGCUCAACCGUGGAAUUGCGUUUGAAACCACUUGUCUUGAGGGGAUCAGAGGAGAGCGGAACUGAUGGUGGAGCGGUGAAAUGCGUUGAUAUUAUCAGGAACACCGGUGGCGAAGGCGGCUCUCUGGGAUCUUUCUGACGCUGAGGCACGAAAGCUAGGGGAGCGAACGGGAUUAGAUACCCCGGUAGUCCUAGCUGUAAACG